This is a long non-coding RNA of Lutra lutra (Eurasian river otter), 772 nucleotides long. RefSeq lists it as uncharacterized. Lineage: Eukaryota; Metazoa; Chordata; Mammalia; Carnivora; Mustelidae. The transcript has 5 exons. The record is from RefSeq and is a predicted model, not a curated record.
ACCCUCUAGGCAGGCUCUUUGGUCGGUCCCCAGGCAGCAAUGGAAAAGCGGAGAACCAGCGUUGGAGAGACGACCACGAAACGUUCUCGAUGAAGAAAUUGAGACCUAAGAAAGUAAAGAGCCAAGUUCAAGACCACAUAACUAACAAUCUCAGUUCUGCCCAAGUGAGCAUGCUCUCUACCUGGCUAACUCCUGCCCCAGCAGAGAAGGCGGUCUUCGGCGCUGGCUGCUCUCUGACAUGGCCCACAUGAUGCAUUCAACAGAGGACGUGCUCAAAAGAUAUACCGUACCCUAGAGUCAACUGUAGUCUGCAAGCCAGCAAUCGUCAGAAGGUCAGAGUUACUCAGAAGUGAGUAACUCGAAGCUAUGUCACAAAGCCUCCAUCAUUCACGUCACUGCAUCUCCUCACCCAGGCAUCUCAUCAUCUCACAUCAUCACGAGAGGAAGGCAAGCAACCAUGCUGUGAGUGGCCUUAUGGAGUAGUCCAUGAACUAGAGCAUCCAGCUACCAGCCAUCAAGGAACUGAGGCCAGCCAACAGCAAGCUGGAAACAUCCUCCAGCCCUCACUGAGCCCAUGAGACUACAGAUUCAGGUGAUAGUUCGCACCCUCAUGAGACCUCUUGAGACCUUGAGCCAGAACCAUUCCGCUAAGCUGCUCCUGGAUUCCUGACCUGAAGAACCAUUGGGAGAUAAUGUUUGUUGCUUCAAGUUUCUGAGGCUUGGGGGUGAUUUUUUUUUUUUUUUUUAAAUGCUGCAGUAGAUAAUGAGCACU